Molecule: long non-coding RNA, 444 nt
Filed under: Capra hircus (goat)
Lineage: Eukaryota; Metazoa; Chordata; Mammalia; Artiodactyla; Bovidae
Description: lncRNA (ENSCHIG00000003840.1)
Source: RNAcentral
GUCACUUAAUCCCCUUAGUGUUUGAUCCGUAGAUCAUUGUGUUUAAACAUGUGGGUCUAUUAUUAGCAAAAACUACACACAAACUUUAAAUAUCAUUCGAAGGGUUAAAAUUUUUGUCAUGUUUCACUCAUGAUGUGUUAGUAAGCAGUCACUCCAAACUCUGCAUUUUUUGUAAAACUAGUCCAUGAAUGAAGAUUUUAAAAGUGUUAGUUGUCUUGUUUCUAUGGAAACCAGCAGUAAUCUACACUGAUUACUGAACUCAGGGAAAGUAGAAUCAGAAGGUACCAUUAUGAAGAAGACACCUCUAUAAACUAUAAAGGUGGACACACCUGUUAUCUAAAUUAUGCGAUUUAUCCAGUUGAAGAGGCUUCUUCCACACGUGUGUAGAUACAGAAGAAGGCAAUUCUGCUUUUUGUAAAGUCGGGAAAAGAGAGCAUUCGUGAG